GAUGAACGCCGGCGGUGUGCCUAAUACAUGCAAGUCGAACGCGUUGGCCCAAUUGAUUGAUGGUGCUUGCACCUGAUUGAUUUUGGUCGCCAACGAGUGGCGGACGGGUGAGUAACACGUAGGUAACCUGCCCAGAAGCGGGGGACAACAUUUGGAAACAGAUGCUAAUACCGCAUAACAGCGUUGUUCGCAUGAACAACGCUUAAAAGAUGGCUUCUCGCUAUCACUUCUGGAUGGACCUGCGGUGCAUUAGCUUGUUGGUGGGGUAACGGCCUACCAAGGCGAUGAUGCAUAGCCGAGUUGAGAGACUGAUCGGCCACAAUGGGACUGAGACACGGCCCAUACUCCUACGGGAGGCAGCAGUAGGGAAUCUUCCACAAUGGGCGCAAGCCUGAUGGAGCAACACCGCGUGAGUGAAGAAGGGUUUCGGCUCGUAAAGCUCUGUUGUUAAAGAAGAACACGUAUGAGAGUAACUGUUCAUACGUUGACGGUAUUUAACCAGAAAGUCACGGCUAACUACGUGCCAGCAGCCGCGGUAAUACGUAGGUGGCAAGCGUUAUCCGGAUUUAUUGGGCGUAAAGAGAGUGCAGGCGGUUUUCUAAGUCUGAUGUGAAAGCCUUCGGCUUAACCGGAGAAGUGCAUCGGAAACUGGAUAACUUGAGUGCAGAAGAGGGUAGUGGAACUCCAUGUGUAGCGGUGGAAUGCGUAGAUAUAUGGAAGAACACCAGUGGCGAAGGCGGCUACCUGGUCUGCAACUGACGCUGAGACUCGAAAGCAUGGGUAGCGAACAGGAUUAGAUACCCUGGUAGUCCAUGCCGUAAACGAUGAGUGCUAGGUGUUGGAGGGUUUCCGCCCUUCAGUGCCGGAGCUAACGCAUUAAGCACUCCGCCUGGGGAGUACGACCGCAAGGUUGAAACUCAAAGGAAUUGACGGGGGCCCGCACUAGCGGUGGAGCAUGUGGUUUAAUUCGAAGCUACGCGAAGAACCUUACCAGGUCUUGACAUCUUGCGCCAACCCUAGAGAUAGGGCGUUUCCUUCGGGAACGCAAUGACAGGUGGUGCAUGGUCGUCGUCAGCUCGUGUCGUGAGAUGUUGGGUUAAGUCCCGCAACGAGCGCAACCCUUGUUACUAGUUGCCAGCAUUAAGUUGGGCACUCUAGUGAGACUGCCGGUGACAAACCGGAGGAAGGUGGGGACGACGUCAGAUCAUCAUGCCCCUUAUGACCUGGGCUACACACGUGCUACAAUGGACGGUACAACGAGUCGCGAACUCGCGAGGGCAUGCAAAUCUCUUAAAACCGUUCUCAGUUCGGACUGCAGGCUGCAACUCGCCUGCACGAAGUCGGAAUCGCUAGUAAUCGCGGAUCAGCAUGCCGCGGUGAAUACGUUCCCGGGCCUUGUACACACCGCCCGUCACACCAUGAGAGUUUGUAACACCCAAAGUCGGUGGGGUAACCUUUUAGGAGCCAGCCGCCUAAGGUGGGACAGAUGAUUAGGGUG
RNAcentral lists this ribosomal RNA (1498 nucleotides) under Limosilactobacillus fermentum. RNAcentral describes it as "bacterial SSU rRNA". It matches the Rfam family "Bacterial small subunit ribosomal RNA". Lineage: Bacteria; Bacillati; Bacillota; Bacilli; Lactobacillales; Lactobacillaceae. The record is from RNAcentral.